GCAUAACGCGAAGAACCUUACCAGGCCUUGACAUGCAGAGAACUUUCCAGAGAUGGAUUGGUGCCUUCGGGAACUCUGACACAGGUGCUGCAUGGCUGUCGUCAGCUCGUGUCGUGAGAUGUUGGGUUAAGUUCCGCAACGAGCGCAACCUUGUCCUUAGUUGCCAGCACGUAAUGGUGGGAACGUCUAAGGAGACCGCCGGCGACAAGCCGGAGGAAGGUGGGGAUGACGUCAAGUCAGUCAUGGCCCUUACGGCCACGGGCUACACACGUACUACAAUGGUGGGGACAGAGGGCUGCGAUACCGCGAGGUGGAGCCAAUCCCAGAAACCCCAUCCCAGUCCGGAUUGGAGUCUGCAACUCGACUCCGAUGAAGUCGGAAUCGCUAGUAAUCGCAGAUCAGCAUUGCUGCGGUGAAUACGCUCCCCGGGGUCUUGUAC
This 439-nucleotide ribosomal RNA is filed under the name uncultured bacterium. RNAcentral's name for it is "bacterial SSU rRNA". It matches the Rfam family "Bacterial small subunit ribosomal RNA", at positions 954 to 1386 of the family's 1533-position model. The record is from RNAcentral.